RNAcentral lists this ribosomal RNA (349 nucleotides) under uncultured Streptococcus sp. RNAcentral's name for it is "bacterial SSU rRNA". It matches the Rfam family "Bacterial small subunit ribosomal RNA", at positions 1033 to 1382 of the family's 1533-position model. Lineage: Bacteria; Bacillati; Bacillota; Bacilli; Lactobacillales; Streptococcaceae. The record is from RNAcentral.
GACAGGUGGUGCAUGGUUGUCGUCAGCUCGUGUCGUGAGAUGUUGGGUUAAGUCCCGCAACGAGCGCAACCCCUAUUGUUAGUUGCCAUCAUUCAGUUGGGCACUCUAGCGAGACUGCCGGUAAUAAACCGGAGGAAGGUGGGGAUGACGUCAAAUCAUCAUGCCCCUUAUGACCUGGGCUACACACGUGCUACAAUGGUUGGUACAACGAGUUGCGAGUCGGUGACGGCGAGCUAAUCUCUUAAAGCCAAUCUCAGUUCGGAUUGUAGGCUGCAACUCGCCUACAUGAAGUCGGAAUCGCUAGUAAUCGCGGAUCAGCACGCCGCGGUCGAAUACGUUCCCGGGCCUU